AUUGAACGCUGGCGGCAGGCCUAACACAUGCAAGUCGAGCGGAUGAAGGGAGCUUGCUCCUGGCUUCAGCGGCGGACGGGUGAGUAAUGCCUAGGAAUCUGCCUGGUAGUGGGGGAUAACGUCCGGAAACGGGCGCUAAUACCGCAUACGUCCUGAGGGAGAAAGGGAGGGAUCUUCGGACCUCACGCUAUCAGAUGAGCCUAGGUCGGAUUAGCUAGUUGGUGGGGUAAAGGCCUACCAAGGCGACGAUCCGUAACUGGUCUGAGAGGAUGAUCAGUCACACUGGAACUGAGACACGGUCCAGACUCCUACGGGAGGCAGCAGUGGGGAAUAUUGGACAAUGGGCGAAAGCCUGACCCAGCAAUGCCGCGUGUGUGAAGAAGGUCUUCGGAUUGUAAAGCACUUUAAGUUGGGAGGAAGGGCAGUAAGUUAAUACCUUGCUGUUUUGACGUUACCAACAGAAUAAGCCCCGGCUAACUUCGUG
Molecule: ribosomal RNA, 484 nt
Filed under: uncultured bacterium
Lineage: Bacteria
Description: partial 16S ribosomal RNA
Rfam family: Bacterial small subunit ribosomal RNA
Source: RNAcentral